RNAcentral lists this ribosomal RNA (492 nucleotides) under uncultured bacterium. Its description in RNAcentral is "partial 16S ribosomal RNA". It matches the Rfam family "Bacterial small subunit ribosomal RNA", at positions 29 to 507 of the family's 1533-position model. The record is from RNAcentral.
AGUGAACGCUGGCGGUAGGCCUAACACAUGCAAGUCGAACGGCAGCACAGUAAGAGCUUGCUCUUACGGGUGGCGAGUGGCGGACGGGUGAGGAAUACAUCGGAAUCUACUUUUUCGGGGGGGAUAACGUAGGGAAACUUACGCUAAUACAGCAUACGACCUACGGGGGAAAGCAGGGGAUCUUCGGACCUUGCGCGAUUGAAUGAGCCGAUGUCGGAUUAGCUAGUUGGCGGGGUAAAGGCCGACCAAGGCGGCUAUCCGUAGCGGGUCUGAGAGGCUGUUCGCCCGCACUGGAGCUGAGACACGGUCCAGAGUCCUACGGGAGGCAGCAGAGUGCAAUAUUAGACAAUGGGCGCAAGCCUUAUCCAGCGCGACCGCGUGGGUGAAGAAGGCCUUCGGUUUGUAAAGCCCUUUUUUUGGGAAAGAAAAGCAGCCGGUUAAUACGCCGCUGUUCUGACGGUACCCAAAGAAUAAGCACCGGCUAACUUCGUG